ACAGCCCCGGCACUUCCGGAGAGCGCGACGGCGGGAGAAACUACUGUCGUGCUAGAGGAGGAGGAAGGGGAGCAGAAUAGAAUGAGACGAACAACAACGCUGCAAGGUUGGCAAGGCUGAGAGAGAGUAACUGGCUCAAAGUCACCCAUGAACUCAUGCAUGUCUAAAAGAGGUUUCUACCAUAGGUUCCUAGGCCAACCACAUAACCUUAACCACUACAGUACACUGACUGUCUUCUAUAUUUUUGGACAUAGAGCUGUUAACACUUUAAUGGCUUCUUUCUCCCCCAGCAAUUCAGUUACUAUUUUAUCUGUUCUUGGAUAUUUCCUAUUAAACAGCCUGUCAUACCUCA
Pantherophis guttatus is the source of this 352-nucleotide long non-coding RNA. RefSeq lists it as uncharacterized. NCBI's taxonomy places the organism in Eukaryota, Metazoa, Chordata, Lepidosauria, Squamata, Colubridae. The record is from RefSeq and is a predicted model, not a curated record.